AUACGGAGGGUGCAAGCGUUAUCCGGAUUUAUUGGGUUUAAAGGGUGCGCAGGCGGAUAAUUAAGUCAGUGGUGAAAUCCUCCCGCUCAACGGGAGAACUGCCAUUGAUACUGAUAAUCUGGAAUACGGUUGAAGUGGGCGGAAUGUAGCAUGUAGCGGUGAAAUGCAUAGAGGUGAUACAGAACACCGAUCGCGAAGGCAGCUCACUAAGCCGAUAUUGACGCUCAGGCACGAAAGCGUGGGUAGCGAACAGGAUUAGAAACCCCAGUAGUCC
Molecule: ribosomal RNA, 274 nt
Filed under: uncultured bacterium
Lineage: Bacteria
Description: partial 16S ribosomal RNA
Rfam family: Bacterial small subunit ribosomal RNA
Source: RNAcentral